Molecule: ribosomal RNA, 499 nt
Filed under: uncultured bacterium
Lineage: Bacteria
Description: bacterial SSU rRNA
Rfam family: Bacterial small subunit ribosomal RNA
Source: RNAcentral
GCCUAAUACAUGCAAGUCGAACGGUCUUUCUAUGGAAGCUUGCUUCCACUGAGAAGAUAGUGGCGAACGGGUGAGUAACACGUGGGUAACCUGCCCAUAAGAGGGGGAUAACAUCCGGAAACGGGUGCUAAUACCGCAUAGUUUUCUUGAUCGCAUGAUUGAGAAAGGAAAGACGGCCUUUGUGCUGUCGCUUAUGGAUGGACCCGCGGCGUAUUAGUUAGUUGGUGAGGUAACGGCUCACCAAGACGAUGAUACGUAGCCGACCUGAGAGGGUGAUCGGCCACAUUGGGACUGAGACACGGCCCAAACUCCUACGGGAGGCAGCAGUAGGGAAUCUUCCGCAAUGGACGAAAGUCUGACGGAGCAACGCCGCGUGAGUGAAGAAAGGUUUUCGGAUCGUAAAACUCUGUUGUCAGAGAAGAACAAGUUGGAGAGUAACUGCUCCAGCCUUGACGGUAUCUGACCAGAAAGCCACGGCUAACUACGUGCCAGCCGCCGC